GCCAGCCCCUAGCGCAGACGGCGAAGAGCUGGGAUAGAGCUCGCCUCGGCUCUGCUGGCCUUGGCUGCAGCUCUCCCAGAGAGCGGGGCGCCCCAAGAAGAAUCCGUUACCUGGCUCUCUCUUCAGGGAUGACAUCAUCGGCAAGCCCUAGUCUUCAAGGACCACCUUCAUUGGAUACCAAGCCUGCUGCUCAAGUGACUGUGGCGAUACCUGCUGAACAUCUCUACCUCCUGAGUCAAGGAGCACGGAUUCCUGGAAGCCAUCAACAUACAGAGCAGACCCCUGUGGACCCCCCAGCAACAAGACAUCGAGGGACAAGGGGCAAAGAGGAUCAGCAGUGUCCUGCUAGCCCCCCUCUGGGUUCAAACCCUGAACCAAAGCCCUAGUGAGGGGGCAUUGGUCAUGGCCUUCAACAUUUGUUCUGCUUGUGCCUUGAGUUUGACCCUUUCCCUGUCCGUCUCUGCUUGUGUCCAUCUGCCAGUGAACUGGAGUGUUUCCCUCCUCAAAGGAGGUCGUCCCUUGUGACUGACCAUGCUGUCCUAACAAUGUCCUGAGCAGAAGGGUCCCUUUGGGGGCCUCUCAGGAGGGGGGGACCUGGGUCGGGGGCCACCAGCAUCGUGCUGGCCACUCUGUGGGUGGGGGCGGGGUGCUUCUGGAAUGAGCAUGUGGCUGACCCCCCCCCCUUCAAGGCAUGUCAUGCCCCCUCCACCACCCACCUUCUCGGAGAUGUCCCUUCCUCUUGGGUUAAUGGACGGUGACAUUAGGAGCAACCUCCUAGGGUUGUUGUGAGAAUUAAAUGAACUAGAACAGCCUGAAGCAGGGCUGGGCAGACGCCCUCAGCACAUGUUUGUUGAAAGGUUUGCAGGUGGAUCUGUCCCACCCACUCACUGUCUCAUCUAUUUUCCCGCAGCCCCUGUGCACAGGGCUCUCCCUGCACCAGGCAGAGGGGCUCCUGAAGACAGCAGGCCGUCGGGGAGACUUUGAGUAAGGACUUAAGUCACGUGUGGCAAUUACCAGAGCACUUUCUGCGAAACGCGCCCAUGCCGUUCCUAAGUAAUACGUAUACGCAAAGGGCGCGUUGGGGGGCGGGGCACAUCUUGUCUAGACAGGAAUGAAUUGGCGCUGACUGUUCAUGAUUUUAAAGAGGUAGGUGGGAAAGAGAACUGGGAGGACCCAACCUCACUCGUGGGUUGGACUGAAAUUUACACCAAGGACAGUGGAGUAUUUUGCCACAUUGCUGGCAAAAGAAGGGAUCAGAGUUGGACACGGGUGCCACUGUGGCUACCCCCGACGGUCCUCUCCCCUGUCCUCAGCCUAAAGCUCUUCAAAGAGCUCCUUUAUUUCGUAUCAGACAUUUCACAACGGGAAAACGUCUAAACCUAGCUCCCCAAGGGUAGUCUUGGGGAGCUGCUGGGGGAGGGGGCAGCUCAAAUCUGGUAAACAUGUGUCGACUUCAUCUUUUAGUAAUGGUUGUGACCUUAAACAAGUCACUUCCAAGUUUCAGUUCCUUUCACACCUUAAGAGAGAUUCUAAAAAGGGGUUGGGGGGUUGGAGAAAGGAAAGGAGAAAGGAAAAAGAAAAAUGUAAAGAGAAAAGAAAGAAAAAAGAAAGAAAGAAAGAGAAAAGGAAAUGAGUUCAUCCAACUAGACAGGGAGCUUUUGAAGACCAAAUGAUGCUAACUCACAAGAAAGUGCUUUGUAAGUUGCCGUGAAAUUACAGAACACAUACUAGCCAAUAAGGCUGUCCCUAUUACCCACUGUCCAGUCCUGUUCCCGCUCACAAGAGUGGGCACCCAGUAGGUGCUGGGUGUAUUUGUGUUCAAUAAAUAAAUUCCAGGAUUAAAAAAAAACAGAAUUAAUUCAACAAACAUUCUGAGAUGCUGACCAUGCGUGCCCGGCGCACCAGGCUAUGGCUGAGGUACGAAGAUACCAAGAAUGGCCUGUUUUCGAGGCUAAUUGGUGCCCUCAUUUUACCAGCACUUUCUUUGGUCACCUUUUAAACCAGGCAGUUUUGUCCAGACGAGACAAAAAGAAAAAGAAAGAGAGAAAGAAAACCAACUGGGUUGCUUUAGGGAAGCCCAGCUUGGAGCGGACGACAGUGUCCAGGUCUUUGAAAGGGGCUGAUUGGAUUAUGAGGCAAAUGGAGGCAGGAGGAGGACUCGGAAGGUGACAAACGCAGUGGGCGGAGACCCACUCUGAGUUAAUUCAGGCUAUCAGGAGGGACCCUUCCCAUCUUCCAGAGAGGCCAGCGGCUUCCACCACUGCCCGUUCCAUCCUUAACGUUCAGCACACACGGAUACUGGAGCUACCCUGGCCCUCUCUGGUCCAUUCAUUUGAUGCUCACAACUCCCUGUCCUGAUCCAGGGCCGGCCUGCCGUCUCCCAGGGAAGCAGAGGUUGCCAAGUGGUUUCUCCAGUUGGGGCGCCCCCAAACUGUUGUGCUCAUGACCUCUUCCAUUUUAGCGGUUCCAAGCCUGCACCUUCACUCCAGUCCCCCUCUGGACUCCUGACUCUGCUGUUCCCACCUGGAGCCCCCCUCCCUCCUGUCCCCCUCCCUCGCCACUCCAGUGUAUGUCUUUCCUUCACAGCCGGCUUCUCGAGGCCUGUCUACACUCGCUGCUUUCCUUCCUCACCUCCAAUUUCCCUUCCAACCCACUGCUUCCUGAUUCGCUCUUCUCCAUCGAACGGCUCUCGCUCAGGUAAAGACUUUUCUCUAGCUCCGCCCUUGGCACGACUCCAGCCUGGCUGGACACAAGGACACAAACACGCAUCUCCAUUGCUCCUGUUCCAUGGCUUCAUGGCUCUGGCUCCCUUCUGUUCCCACAUUGCUGGCUUCACGGACACAACCGUUCUCACCUUCCCUGGGAACUUUCAUUCCCAGCCCUCUCAAUUCCCCAAACCUGCCUCAUACCAACAAGCAGCUGGCAGGGCUGUCUAGAGCACUCUGGGGUUGGCCAGUCUGGGCUCAGGUCUUAGGUAAAACACUUCACACUGAGAACAUGGGGUAACACAGCUCUUCCAAGCUAUGCUGGCUAAAAUAGGGUUAAUGGCCUUCACCAGGAAUGCCAGGUGUGCCUCACCAGGUAAGCCCUAGAUACUCUAGCCGAGGGACUGGAGGUAAAAUAAAUUAGCUAUUCCUGAGCAAAUGCAAUUAGGGUCACAAUUAAGUUUGCUUGAAGUUAAGUUCCCACAGAGAAGACCAAAGAGGAGGGGAGGGAGGGGCAUUAAAGAGAGCAAAGGCAAGCGGGGAGGGAUUUAGAAUGUAAAGACCUACCUGAACCUCAUCUAGAAAAAGCUUUUCCUCAGCCUGGGUUUAGAAGAGAAAAAAAAAAUCAGAAGGAAGCUUUUAAGUUGAUUACCCAGUGACAGAUGCCAGGAACCUUCCAUAUCACAUCACCCCGUUCAAGGGUUUUGAGUUUCUCCUCUGAGAUUCAACCUCUGGACCUCCAGCCCCCUACCAAGGCGCCUCCCUGGACAGGUGCUUAAGUCCUGAAGACACACGAAGGGUCUCGGGGAAUGACUAGCCCACAGCGCAGGGCCACCCCUCCCCUCCCCGCAGCCAUUUUGUCUGUAGAUUUCCCUUCUCGUUGGGGCCUAAGCCUCGGUUCCAGCGCAAGACCCCACUGAAUGAGGUUGCAAGCUGAAGGUAGCCACGAGUGGAGGAGCUACGCACACGGUCCACUCUGACCACACACACUGUUCCUUCUCAGUCCCGGGCACGUUCAGUGCCUGGGCUAAAGGCUCUGUGGCUCCGUGGGUCCAGAUUAGGUUGCCACCCAGCACAGUAAGCAGCUGUAGCCAGGGGACUAGAAUAAAGGCUGAGGCUUCUGAGAGACAGCCUCACACAAGCCUCCCUCCUCACAGUAUGGAGUCAGUUGGUAUGGCUUCCAUGGUCUCCGGGGUCCCUCUCUCAAACAUCCAUCAAUUAGUGAAAUAAUAGGUCCCUGAAGCCACUUGGGAUAUCCUAGGAGGUUGGGAGCAUUUCAGAAUCUAGGGAACCUGCUGAGGGCCUUAGCUCAGUACCUGACAGGCCUGGGUCACUAGGGUUUUGUGUAAGGAACCUCCAAACUUAGCAGCCUCUAACAACUCAAACAUGAGUACCCCCACAUCCUGGGACCCUCAAGGAUAUUUCUGUGCUUCAGUGGAUACAGAAGCCCCCCCACCACUCCCCACUUUCAGCCCUGGCAUCCAGACUGGCUUCAGAAUUGGCCCAGAGACCUAGAGCAUUCCGGGUGCCUAACGUCUAUGGGAUCAGUCAGGAAAUAGCAGGAGCUGUGGAGAUGAGGCCAAGGAAGGGAGGGAGGAGGCAGGAGAAGCCCCGGCCCCCAAUCCUUCUGAGAACGACUUUUUCUGCCUUUACUGCCCAUCGCCCUCCUCCUCCAUUCUCUGUCUCAGCCCCCCCCUCUGUUUGUCUCCCCCCUCUUCCGUGUGGAUCAGGCCUUUUGGGGGUGCCCCCUAGGCCACCCCUUCCUCCUCUGGGUGUCCCAGCACCAACCCGGUAAAUAGUGGGGCUCAGUAAGAGUAUGUGGGAUGCAUGGUGAGAGGACAGGCGGACGAAUGGAUGGACUCAACUGUCACACCAGGGCAGCUAGGGCUCAGAGGGUCGAGGGUGGGGGCGGGGGCCCGAGGGACGCGGGAGCAGCCGCCACCUGCUCUAGUCUAUGGUUGUGCCCGUGCCCUCGUCCGCGCGUCCACUCUGUCAUCCAACAGUUGAUCCUAACUGAGCGUGCCCAUGGUCCUGGCCCUGGGCUUGGCACCUGCCACCUAGCUUGUCCCUUGAUGGCCUCUGCUUCCCAGGGAGGGCAAGCUGGGGGGUUGUCUGGGAGCCAGAGUAGUGGUCUCUGGCUCCGUAGAGGGCAUUCAGAGGGCAUGGGGUGGGUCUGGUUUGCUGCCCUGCCUUCAUGCAGACCUGCCCACCCCCAGGGCCUUGCCCCCCUCUCUGCCCCCCUUCCCAUUCAUGGCUGAGUAUGGUUUACUGCCCCCCCCUCUCCCACCCCACUCCGCCCCCCGCAGCUUAGGGCCUUAGAAAGGAACAGCUGUGAUGGUCCCCGGUCCUGGCCACACAGGUCCUCCUCUAGAGUUGAUGGGGGUCUGAGGCUUUUGGGCCCUUUCCACAGUGUGUUCCUUCUCUUGGGAUGCAGUCCAGUCAUUUUGCCCCCCCUGUGGCUGAUGACUGUGUCCCAUAUCAGGAUCCCCCCCAGAGAGCAUGUGCAGGCCCCCGCCUCUGCCUGGCUAACUCCCUACUCUUCUUUACCUGCUGGUUCUCCCUGCUUCUAUGCCCCCCUCCGGGGGGGUUCAUCACCCACUUGGCAUCUGCUUGCAUUGUUUCCCCCCAUGUCUCCCUACCAGCCCUUGCCUCAGUCCCGGGGCUCAUCCUGCUCCCCCCUUGGCUUUACAGUCUGCCUUUCCUUGCUAAGCCCACAACCUGUGGCUACGCUCGUCCACCUGCUGCCCUUAGCCUUGCCACCACGUCCCCAAUCCCACUGUGCCUCCCCAAGUCAGUGUCACCUCAGUUGCCAGCAGCCUCCUGGUGCCUGCUGGACAAUCCCUGGCUGGUUCUUCAUCUCCGGUGGGACUGAUUUCCAGGGUCUGACUGACCAGGGGCUUAAACCAGGUCUAUGACUCGGCCUGCUGGUCCUGGAGACCCCUCAUCGGCGGCGGCGUUCCCUGGCCUGUUGCGUCUUCCUGUGCCAUUUCCUGUUGUGCUCAGGUUCUACGAGCCGCCCAUCUCCACGGAAGAGCAGCUGGAAUCACCCAUUAGCCAUGCUGGCUGAAGAGCAAAGGAUGGAGGACCCCAGGACGCCCAGCGCGAGGACCCCAGGACGCCCAGCGCGAGGACCCCAGGACGCCCAGCGCGAGGACCCCAGGACGCCCAGCGCGAGGACCAUCACAACAAGCAUCGUGCCACCCGCCCGGGUUGGGCCCAAGUCAUCACCCAGAAUCCUGCGUGGGACCCUGGACACACGGACGACGGACACAUGCCCCAGGACCGUCCAACUGUAAAUCGAUGGAAGUGCUCUUGUGACUUGGGGGCUUCAAAGGGAUGAGGAGAAAAUGCAGACCGAGGGACCAGCUUCUCAAAUAGGCUUCAAGCCUCCAUGACCUGAGCUCACCCCCUGAAAAUGUCUGGAAAACAUAAUGGGCAGGUUUUCUGUCUUCAAAGUUUCCAUCGAAACCUCUUCAAGUUCUUUAUUGUUUGGGACUGAGACACUUGGGGACGGUAAUGGGGACUUUCUUUUGUAUCUGUCUUGAAAGGCCAAAAUAUUUUUAUAUUGCUGUAGACAAAGCCUCCUAUUUACAAAUGAACUCUGUUCUGUCGUUUCCCACCAGGAAGACUGUACUAUGUUUGUGUCUCUAUGUAUUCUGGGGUCUUGAAACAGGUUUCUCAUGGGGAUGGCCAUUCACUGGGGCCCAGAGGGGCAGAGGGGGGGAAGUGUCUACCCUGCCAAGGGGGGUCUGGGGAAGGGGGGGUGGACGCCCUAGUCUCGGGUCUGUCCUUUGUAUGUCUAGGGGUGAGCCCUGGGAGAAUCUGGUAGUAAAAGAACAUAUGCUGUGUUUUCCCCACAUCUGCCAUUUGUGGUGUUUGUUUCUGCGCUGAGGGUUUGCAUACUCUGCUGGUUAACGCCAUGGGAGGAAGCAGGAAGGGACCAAGAGGGUCCGGUUUGCUUGCCUGGAGGCUGUUUCAUUGGUGUGUGUUACAUCACAUAGUAAAUGUUUAGAUGGGCGGGAGAGAGAAGCAGGCUAGAAGCGAAGUGAGCGAGUUGGGAUGGGUGCCUAGGCGAUCAGCAAAAUGCCAAGCCCGGAGGUGUGUAGGGCCACGUGCAAACUGGUGUUGGGUCGUCUGGGACCUAAGAGAUUUUUCAUUAAGGAAGGGAUCCCAAAUCAAAAAGACGGAAGGAGAAGCUAGAUUGUCUAAACCAAAGGUGAGGUUCCGAGGCCCCUUGAUGUGAGCAGAGGGGUGACGGCUUGAGCAAAGAAAGAAGCAGGAGAGAGAGAGAAAACAAACAAAACUGAUAAACAACACAAACAAUAAAGGGAGGGAGGGGGUGUGCUGCCGUGCGGGGAGAACCCAGCCGGGUCAGGGAACCUCAGGGUUAGUUAACCUCAGCUGGGCACCCUGGCUCUUUGGGGGCGAGGGGCAGCAAGUGAGAAAACGGGGGGGGCACGGAGAAAGCGGUCAGCAUAGAGACGCGAAAGGAAAAAGAAAGUUCAUUAAGCAGAUGAGUGGCUUCGAGGGAGGGCUGAGCUAGGAUUCCAAAUCCGAACACUUACCACUCCUGGCUGCUGCUUACAUAAUGGAAGAAAGGGAGCAGGGAGAAAGGGUAGCCGAGUGAAUGCAUGAAUGGGAGAAAGAGGUAGGGAGCUGGGUGGGCCACUGAAGGACGCUUUCAGGUGACCCUCUUGUCCACCAGCCUGUGCAGCUGAGAGAGACAAUCGGGCGGCGGGGAGGGAAAGAGAUGCAAAUUCUGUCUCCAAAAGGAGAAAGGUAAUCAUGUGCCCACAGAUAGGUAUAUGAAUACAGCUAGAGGGGAGAGCCCCACGAGGGACAGGACGAGAGACCGCGCUAGCAGACUGGUUAAUUCCCAUCUGUGUUUCUGAGAUGGACAAUGACCCACCCGACCAAGAGACCUUUCAGGCAUCAAUAUGUCAGGGAGGGCUUCAAUGGGGCGAUGGAGGGGAGGCCCAUUAAUAGCAGAUUAUGAUGUAUCCAAUUAGGUGCACCUGCCCUCUGAACGUGUAGAGACCAGUAUUGAAAUAGAAAGAAAGACUGAAUGGAUGCCUGAGUGCACGAAUGAAUGAAUGAGAAAAAAAGCUUUGCAUUCACUCUGAGGGGGAGGGUGCUGCAGAGCCCAAGGGUCAUCUGAUCUCCGGGAGAAUAAAAGGGGGAAAGAGUGGAGAAAGUAACAAUAAGAUGAGGGGAAAAAAUGAAAAGACGUGCAGAAGAUAAUAAGCGGGACAAUUAAGCCUAGGAGAGAGGGCUUGUUUAACACAAGUCAUCCAUAUUAAUUCAAAAUUGGGGCCCUGGGCUGGGGUGGAGCUCAGGGAUGGGUCUGUUGCCUAGCAUGCGCAGGGCUCUGUGUUCCAUCCCAGCCCUGCAAAACAAACACAAAGGACAAGAGUAUGGCUGAGAGGUUGUAAAUGAUGCUGCUGCCAAUAAUGACGAGGGAGACGGAACAAAGAGCCAGACACAUUAGGAGGUGGAGAGAAGGAAGAUGUAGGGAAAAAAUCUAGGUGGAUGGACACAUAGGAGAUAAGUAUUUAAAUAGGACGGAUGCAUUUUAUCUGUUGAGUGCAUUAAGUAAUAGGAGUGGAGGCUUAUCCGUAAAAGAACAAAUAUUGAAAAGGAACAAGUUGAGGAGGGGCCAUGAAAAAAACACGAGCCAGAAGUGAUGGCUUUAAUCACUACUGCACUCCUGCUCUGUAAGGGCAAAGAUGUGCAGAGGAGUACAGAAAUAAGACGGUCCAGACAGGCACAAUGAAAAGGCUGAGGACAUAAAUGAAUAUACAUGGAGACGUGUGCCCGAGAGGGCCAAGCGGGGACAAGAGAGUCAGAGAACAGCAAGAAUUAUGAUUAAUUCAGAACGGGGCUUCUGAGAUGGCUAAAUGUCUCCCGAACCAAAGCACCAGCACAAGGAAUUAGGGGACAAAAGGGCUGCGGGCAGAUCCGGGUGGAGAAGGCUUGGGACCCUCAGAUCAUGCUUAAUCUAAAUCUGUGCACCUGAGGUCCAUAAAUAAAAGAAUAAAUAUUGAAAUAAAAGAGUGACAGGAGGAAUGAAUGGACGCACGAAUGACUGAAUUAGAAAUGGAAAUGGCUAGAGCGGCCAGGAAGGAGUUGCCCAUGGGAGUUUCGCUCAUCUUAUUGUGGGCACCUGAGGUCCCUUAGUAAAGAGAUGCAAGGUGGAAGGAGAGAAGGGAGAAGGCAGCGAGGGAAAAUGAAAGAGGAGGAAAUGAGAAACUGGCCAGGGAGGAAGCAAUAUGUGGCUCCCUCAUAAGAGAAAGAUCUGUGAGGAUUAGUGAUGAGGGUCUCAUUAAUCCUAAAGACCGAGGAGGUAAUCCAGACCCAGGUUCUUAUGGGCAGGGAGGAUGGAGAGAAUUAAAAAAAAAAGGCAAAAAGGAAAGAAAGAUAAUAAAACAAGCAGCAUGAUAAAUGGGUAAUUAAGAGAGGCUGUCUGAACAGAAAUAGUAAUGAGUUCCCUUGCAUAGUCCUUAAACAGAUAAAUACAUUAUACCUUUCAAAGAAUGCGUGAAAAAUCGAAGAACGCUAUGGCCCCCAAACAAGGAAACCCCUUCCACUGUAAUAAAAUACAUGCAGUGGAAGGCCAUAAAUAACAGUAAAUACUUAAAUGUAAAAGCUGACCAGGCACAGGGAAGAAGUCUGCAAAGCACAGAUCUUGGAGGGAGACAGUGUUUGUUUUGUGCGUGGGAUUUUGAAUAAUGCAAUUAUGUUCCCAGGAAAUUAAUAGGUUAAUAAAGAUUCAAACCAAGACCCAGGAAGGACAAGGAAAGGAAGAGAGAUACGGUGGGCAGGGUGAAAGCUUGGGGUGGGCUUGACAUGCCCCGUUACAUUCUGCACACGAGGGUUUAUAAAAAUGAGACUAUCAGGAGAGAGCAGAGAGCCCAGGGACAAACAGGAACGGAAUGAAAACCUGGGGAAAAGGAGGGGGGACCGCGCAAGGAGGGGGCUUCCAGGAGCUGAGGGUUAUGGUUCAUUUAAAGCUGUGUCAUUAUGCCCCCAAAGGAACCAGAUCUCAGUGAAGGCUUUUGUGAGUGAGGAGCAGAUGACAGGAAUAUAGACGGACAGGGAGGAGGUUGUAUGUGCUGUUCACUGAUUGGUAAUGAGUGGCCGUUGUCCAGCCAGAGCCUAACUGGCUGGGAGCAGCUAUCUGAGGAAGAUCUUAGACCACCAUUGGCACUUCCUAGUUGUGUGGGCCAUUUCAUUGUCUGUCACGUCCUCCAUCCGAAGAAGAUACAUCCUUGCACAGUGCCCUACCCAGAGAUAGGUGGGAAGGGUUUAGGUCCAUGCCCUGUAGAUGAAUGCUAAACCCAGUGGGUGACGUGACCCCUUUCUGGGCAAGGGUCUCUUUGUGAGCUUUCUGUGAGGGGACCAAGAGGCAGGAGGAGGUCAGGGGGCAGGAGGCCUUGCCUGCCACAUGCCAUCUUGGGUGUGAGUGACAUCUGGGGUCUGGUGCAGUGGGGUGAGGGUGACCUGGAAGCCCCGAGACCCGAGAAGCAGUAGGAUGCUUGUUCUCACGGCUCUCUUGAGAUGCACCCAGGUGGGCACUAGCCAGCCCAUCUCAGCUCAGAGUUCUAAGCAGGCGUACCUCAGUCUGGGCUUCCUAGAGAUGAUCCUGGGUCCCAGCCCCUAGACAUGCCACCCCUGGAGCCCGUUUCAAGGCCUGUCUUCUAGAAUGUUUACAGAUAUGUUCUGUAACCAGGAAAAAAACGCGUUUGUACGGUGUGUUGAAACUGUCUUCUUGCUCGCCCCCUUGGGCUGUGUGGGGAGACUUGGAGAGCUGUUUAUUCUGGUGCACCCCCCUGUCCAUUUUUCCUUCCCUGUUAUGGACAAGAUUUUUGCAGUUGUGUGUUGUGUACCUGUGUCUGUGCAUUAAAAGAGUCACAGUAUCCCUUGGCUUCUCAAUUUCUAUUGGGGGCAUGAAAAAUAAAAACCGAUUCUUACUAAGAGCCCAAGCAGGAGAGGAAUAGCUUGGCUGGAUCCAGGGAGCAUGUGCAGACCUGGGAACAGGGUGGACUAGUGGGUUAUGGCAAGGCAGGGGUGGGGGUGGGGGCUCGGUGAGAGUCAUGCCCGCCCAGGCCCAUCAGAAAGAAGGCAUGACAGGUGGGGUGGGUGGGGCUCCUGCUACACCUGAGUUGCUGGAGGUCUGAGACGCCAUCAAGGAAGAGGGGCCCCAGGGCUAAGACUUUCCCUCAAGUUGUUAGGAUUGCAGGCAGGAUAUGCUGGAGGCAGCUGGCUGAAGAAGAAAGAUGGGCACUCCUCCCUACGCUUCUAGUUUCAAGCUUUUAGUGUAGGCCCCGGAUAGAUGGCAACCACCUCCCACGGACUUCACGUGUCAGAAGCCACCUUCUGUGCCCCCAGCACCACGUGUCUGGGCCACGUGAGCAACGCCACGUGGGCCUGACGUGGAGCUGGGGCCGCAGGGGUCUGUUGGCCUGCUCUUUCAGAGUCUGGGCUCCAGGCUCUGCCUCGGCGCUUAUCAACCCUGGGAACAUCUGCUGACCUGGUCCCUGAAGAUGGUCCAGACAAGCCUGAGUGACCCUGUGAGAUGAAGAGGGGUGGGUGGAGACGCUCAGGAGGAAAAGGCCUGGGGAUUCAUUGUACGGGACUCCCGUGUAGGUGCUAGAGAGUUGGGCAUGGCUGGGAGAGGGCAGGCAUGGGGGUUGGGUGAGGAGGAGAAGGGCAUGGCCGCAUAGGGGUUGUGGGUGGGAAGACAGUGACAUUGGGCAGCAUGCGAGUGGGUGUCUAGGUGUCUAGGUGGGCCUUGUCUCAACAUUCUUGCUAGGAGCUUGGAGGGGGCAAACUGGGCUACUUUGGGCCCAUGGGACCCGUUGAUGCCCUGGAGAGCAUGAGGGCUUGGGUAGGUGACUUGCUGUGUCACCUUGGGACUAAUGAAGGGGAGAUCUGGCUGUUUUGAGUCUUUGACUCUUAAUCGGCUCUGGAAUUCCAAAUGUCUCUAGUUCUGGGGUUUCGUGACUCAGAGUAGGGCUCCCCAGGAUACAGCAUAUGUGUGGGGAGGGUGGUCUGCAUGUGCUCCCAAGUUGGACUCCCAGCAUCUCUGCCUGUUCAGGGCUACCUUAGACGUAUUUAUUUCUUCCAACAUGAUAAAACAAGGCAAAUUUUCUCUUCCGAUUGACAUUCAUGUGCAGUACACAAAGUCCUUUCCCUGAUGAUAUGGGGACCUACAGCUCUCCUUGGCUCCCCCACAACUCCCAGCCCAUCCUUGGGGCAAGUGGGUCAAAGCCCCUGAUGUUUUUCUGAGUUGAAGGUGUCAAUGUAAAGUUGUGUGACUCAGAGCAGGGGGAAGUGCAUCCCCAGGUCUUCCCUUCAUGUGCUCCAUCUUUCUUUCUGCUUCCAAAAUUGUUUUUUUCUUUUAAUGACCAUCCACUUUUAAAGGCCUCAUUGACAUUGUCCACUUUUUGUUGUUUCCUGUCCGUUGCAAUGAACAUCUUGUUGUCCAUGCUUUCUUUGCUUCAUAGUCUCUCUCACUCCCUGCUUGGGGGUCCACCGAAUGGCUUUGGCAUCUCGGUCUACCCAUCUGACUGUUGCUGGUGCAUGGCCAUCUUUUUUUUUUUUAAAUUACAAAUGGCAUCACAGCUAAAGGCUUUGCAUGAGCAGCUUUUCCAGCCUUUCCAAGAACUUCCCUACAUCUAUCUAGUUCUUCCCAUGGCCUCUGUCUUUUCAUGUCACAUCCUUCUGCUAGACUGUGAGCCCAUUCAGGGCAAGGAACUUGUGGGACUGACCUGUAUCCCUUGUAGGAUGUAUAUGAAUGCUUGCUGGGUGUGUAUGGAAGGGUAGAUAGGUAUGGGUGACAGAGUGACUGAGCAGUCGGCAGGCCGAUGAGAGGACAGAUGAGUGGAUUAGUGAAUGAAUGAAUGAAUGAAUGAAUGAAGAGUGAGUGAAUGAAUGGAUUCUGUGUGACUGAGCUUCCUGGGUGAAAGGUUAGGGGUGUUCGUGUGACUGUUGAUUGAUUUCAGGAGGCCCAUAUUAUUUUGUCAUGUCCAAUGAUGUAUUAGUAUUUCUCUGUAAAAGUAUGAUUUCUAAUGUGUUUUAAAACUUGUUCUAAUUACUAAUGAAAUGAAGGCUGAAUAUUUUUCA
Molecule: long non-coding RNA, 12830 nt
Organism: Mesocricetus auratus (golden hamster)
Lineage: Eukaryota; Metazoa; Chordata; Mammalia; Rodentia; Cricetidae
Exons: 7
Source: RefSeq, a predicted model, not a curated record